UACGGGAGGCAGCAGUGGGGAAUAUUGCACAAUGGGCGCAAGCCUGAUGCAGCCAUGCCGCGUGUAUGAAGAAGGCCUUCGGGUUGUAAAGUACUUUCAGUCGUGAGGAAGGUGUUAAGGUUAAUAACCUUAGCAAUUGACGUUAGCGACAGAAGAAGCACCGGCUAACUCCGUGCCAGCAGCCGCGGUAAUACGGAAGGUGCGAGCGUUAAUCGGAAUUACUGGGCGUAAAGGGCACGCAGGCGGUUAAUUAAGUUGGAUGUGAAAUCCCCGGGCUUAACCUGGGAAUGGCAUUCAAGACUGGUUAGCUAGAGUCUUGUAGAGGGGGUAGAAUUCCAUGUGUAGCGGUGAAAUGCGUAGAGAUGUGGAGGAAUACCGGUGGCGAAGGCGGCCCCUGGACAAAGACUGACGCUCAUGUGCGAAAGCGUGGGGAGCAAACAGGGAUUAGAUACC
Molecule: ribosomal RNA, 453 nt
Filed under: uncultured bacterium
Lineage: Bacteria
Description: bacterial SSU rRNA
Rfam family: Bacterial small subunit ribosomal RNA
Source: RNAcentral